UCACCAUGCAGCUCUAACGGCUGAACCAGCAACUUGCAGGAAUGAGAGUUAAUAUAAUAAGUUAUUAACUUGCUUGACUAGGUCUUAUAAAGUUCUGGAUAAAGCUUAUUAUGAAAACUUUAUAUCCAUAGGUCUCGACCAAAUCUUGUGCCAGCAGUCGCGGUAAGACAAGGGAGACGAGUGUUAUUCAUCUUUAACAGGUAUAUAGGGUACCUAGACGGUGUGCAAUGGCUUAAAUAAGUACCUGGUACACUUGAGUUUGAUAUGUGAGAGGAAUAUGUCGGAAUUGUUGGAGGAAAGAUGAAAUUUGUUAAUACCAAUAGGACUGAUAACGGCGAAGGCAAACCUCUAUGUACAUGUACUUGCUAUUUCUAUUUGUUUAUUUUUUUUUCAAUAGAAAAAAAAAGAAACUAAAAAAAAGAAACUAAAAAAAAGAAACUAAAAAAAAGAAAUUUUUUUUUGUGAAGGAAUAUAUGAAAUAU
Molecule: ribosomal RNA, 482 nt
Filed under: Alternaria porri
Lineage: Eukaryota; Fungi; Ascomycota; Dothideomycetes; Pleosporales; Pleosporaceae
Description: partial small subunit ribosomal RNA
Source: RNAcentral